GUUCAUUAAGUUACUGUGGCCUCCUCAUUGCCUAUAUUUGCAGGCAAGUAUUUAAGAUUUUAUUUUUCUAUUAAAUUUUGAUAUUUAUUCAGAGAUUGGGAAUUGCAGGAAAGAAGUCAAUGUGUCCAAUUAUUUCCAAUGGUAUUAUGUGAUUCAUCAGCUCAUUUUAAUUUGACAUUCCGACUGACAAGGAGUGGUUUCUUAGAGCUUCGAGACGAGGUUGCUUUGACACUUAAUUCUAUGGAUAAAUGUAGAGACGGUGGAUUUGAAGAGGUUUUCAUGACCAAGAUUGAUUUGCCUGCUAAAUAUGAUUAUUACAUAAGAAUCAUGGUGUGUACAAGGGAUUUGGUUUUUAAUUUUUAGUGGUAAACCAAAUCGGCCUACAAAGUGAGUUCAUCUUUAAUUAUCUUUAGUUUUUAUAUCUUUUUUACUUACUAUCUUCUUUCCUACUAACCUUUUUCUUAUGCUAUAAACUUGAAGCAAUUUGUAUUCAAAAUAAUGAUCUCUUUGUUUUCUUUUAUUUGUACCACUUGAAUACUAUUUGAAUUUACUUGAUUAGGGUAGUGGCAACGUUCUAGCUAUUGCCCUUAGGAUCACUAUCUACUUUUGGGAUCUUCUGUGGAUCUACUUCUGAAAUUGUGAAUUGAUGACGAAAUUGCCAUGUCACCAGUGUUUACUAGGGAGGAAUGAAAGAUACAUUGCUGUUGGGCUGAAUAAUUAUGGGAUUCUUCCUCCAAUCGACAGGUCUAUUCUUCCAGAUUUGGUGGUUAUUCGGGAUUCUUCUUCAUUAUUGUCGAGGUUAUGUAGAAAUAAAUGUCCGACUCUUUACCUAAUACACAUUACUUGAGUAUGAUAAUCUUCCUUUCCAGAAAUUAUUGAUUCUUGAAUGUAUGAAAUAAAACUGAAAGCUUUUGAAUAUCCCUCCUGAAUUGUUGAUUUGAUUUGAAUCAUAGAACCUAUAAUAAUCCACCUUACUAGAAUCAAACAUUAUUUCCUGAAAACUGUGACUCUCACAACCAACUAUGUUCUUCUCCUUGUUGCCUAGAUUAAACUGAGAUGACCAAGAAAUUUUAUUUUCAUGGUUAGCAUUCUUUGUCGUUCUGUGCCCUUCUGAAUUCUGUUGGGAAUUUUAUGCGAAAAAUUGACCUCUAAACUCAUAAAAAGAAGUUAGAGAGUACAAUAAGACUGAGGUUAUCCCUAAUCUAAGGAAGAUUGGCACAGAUGUGGAUGCCGGUCCCAAAACACUGUUUUGAAAAAGUUUCAUCUAUGAGAUAUGAUUAGUAUAUGUAAAGAGAAUGCAUUCAACAGUUCUUUUACCUUUCUUAUUUUUUCUCUCAGCAAUCUCCCUAUUUCCUGAUUUCCCUUCCUUCUACUUUGUUUUGAUGGAAUGUUACAAAUGCGAUGUAAUUCAUAAUGUGCUAUUGUUUCCAACCAGUCUUUGGCAAGUAAAAGGGGGAAAAAAAACAAUGUAUUUCAUAAUGUGCUAUAGUUUCCAACCAGUCUUUGGAAAAUAAAAGGGGGAAAAAAAUCAUAUGGCAAGGUAAUGAUAUAUAAGUUCUUUCCCAAGGCUCUAAUUCUCAUGUAUCUCAUUAAAUUUCUUCAAUCACCAUUUUCACAUGUUUUACAGUUUCAAGGUAGUUAUAGGCAACCUAUAUAGUUGAUCUCUUUUCAUAUGUUUUCUAUUCUAUUAAUUAUCUAUGAUAGGAUUCUGCUUUUACCAAAAAAAAAAAAAGAGAUUCUGCUUACUUAAGAAAUUCUUUUGUUUGGGGGGGGGGGGGAUAUUCCACUCAAUUUAGAAUGCUCCUUUGUUAGAUCUAGCAACUGUAGAUAUGGCAAAGGAGAUGGAAGAAAGGUAGAAAUGUCAGAGAAAAACAGUGCACAACAAUCAAUGCAUCUGAAGAAACUGAGUUUCACCAUCUAAAAUUGUCGUGGAAGCACUUCAUGCUUUCAGAAGUACAUAUUGCGGCUAAAAAUUUCAGCUCUGGUCCAAAGGAGACAACCAACCUCAUGCUAUCUUAGACUUACAAAGGAACAUCUUUAACUUCCAUUUGGACUUACCAUUCUCUUCAGUAACACCGUAAGUAUAGCUUGGUCUCUCUCCCUCUCUCUCUCUCUCUCUCUCUCUUCCCACUUUCUCAAAAUUGUCCACACUGCUUGUUUGUUGGUCUAGAUGAUAACUUGAGACAUGUUGGUUAAUUAUCUUUGUACAGUUCCUAAACCAUGUUUUAAGACGUUACUAGAAAUGAAUUUGACUUUAAUCCAAAGACUAUAUAAAAUCAAUUGUAAUGUUAAUUAACACUUGAAUUAUUCUUAUACUAUUUGUUAUCCUCUUUGAAAAUUCUAUUUCAUUUACUGUACAUUUUUUUAAAUACUUGUAUACUACUAUCUUGUAGUGCUUUAUUACAAGACAUUAGUGUACAAUAAAAGUAGAAAUUUCAGCAUCAACAUUAUGUUCUGCAACUACUGUGAGUCUCAUAAUUGGUUUCCUCUUUCUUUGAUUAUGGAUUUUAUAAUUUAAAUAUGGGUCUUUAACUCAAUUGGUAGAGUACUCGUGUGGGAGAUACUUCCAUACCUCAAGAGAUGGUGGUUCGAAUCCACUAAGCCCCUCAUUUAUAUUUUCAUUUUAACCUCAACGGCAAUGUUAUGGGAAUAACAAAACAGUUUUUUAAAUGAAUUCUGUAGGAGGGGAAGUGGUUGGCUUUUUGUAAUUUUUCCACGAUAUUAACAGAUGAGUUAGACCAACUUGGUUCAACACUUGGACAAGUUAGAAACUUGAUUAAAGUGAAAGUUUAGUCGAAUUAAUAUUAAGUUUGAGUCGAGUCUCUUAGUCCUAGGUAAAUA
Macadamia integrifolia is the source of this 2841-nucleotide RNA transcript. RefSeq lists it as uncharacterized. The record is from RefSeq and is a predicted model, not a curated record. The transcript has 4 exons. Lineage: Eukaryota; Viridiplantae; Streptophyta; Magnoliopsida; Proteales; Proteaceae.